Molecule: long non-coding RNA, 744 nt
Organism: Xenopus laevis (African clawed frog)
Lineage: Eukaryota; Metazoa; Chordata; Amphibia; Anura; Pipidae
Exons: 3
Source: RefSeq, a predicted model, not a curated record
GAAUUGCAAUUAGCAAUGAUCAACUUACCACCUUGCUCUUAAGAUUUGGAGAUUAUAAAAUGAAACUCAAUUUUGAAGAUUAUUUGUGCUGCAUGGUACGACUGAAAUCAGCCUACAAAAGGUUUCAGAGGCUGACAAAUGAUGGCAAAGGAGUUUAUCUUACCCAAGACAAGUGGCUGAAAAUAAUGAUGUCCUGCUAGUGGGGUUCAUACUGAUGAUGCUGCAGCAAACUCCAUAUUGGAACCGUCUUAGCUGAACUUCUUAUAUCAACUUUUCAUCCUCCUUAUGGGGUUUUUUGUCAAUUAAAUUUGAGCAUUAUUGUAUCUUUCCCAAGUUUUCCCAAAACCAAACUGCUGCCAAAUGCGUGUCUUCUAAACAUGAAACCAGAAUGGCUUGUCGAAAUGCAACUUCUAUAUCUUCUUCACCAAAAUCUUCUAGGAGGACUUUUUGCAAAAUAUAGGAUGAUCAUGGGUUUGGGUGGUCUAAUCUUAUGCACGAGAUGAUUAGUAAUUUGUCUACCUCAGGCACAAGUGAUUAAAGGCCAAUCUGGGAUUGUACAGCUGUGGGUUUGGAGCCCAAUGGGGUUUCCCUGCUGAGACUUGAUUAAGCCUAAAAUAUGGCACAGGAGGUGCUUAUAGUUGUCUGUGACAAAUGCAGAAAUAAAGUAAAGGCAUUAUCCAGGUCUGGCACAGGCACCUCAUUCAUUCUAGAUUUUGUUCUUGGUUUCUUUGUACCCAUCAUAUU